Physeter macrocephalus (sperm whale) is the source of this 335-nucleotide long non-coding RNA. RefSeq lists it as uncharacterized. Lineage: Eukaryota; Metazoa; Chordata; Mammalia; Artiodactyla; Physeteridae. The transcript is spliced from 3 exons. The record is from RefSeq and is a predicted model, not a curated record.
AGAUAUUUGCACAGUGUAUGGAUAAACUCAUUACUUGCUAAGGACUGACCCUGACCAGCUUAGCAAGCCUCCACCUAUUAUUUCCAAAGGGAGUCACCCCUCACUGAAGCCAUGACGAGCUUCUUUUCCAUUGCAUUCCAAGCUCCUAACAGCGACUUGGAAACAAUCUGCCCAUUGGAAUCUUCUUUUAGUCCAAAACAACAAAGUUUGAAAUAUUUGGAUAUAGUGUCAACUCUGACUUACUACAAUUGCAAACCAUCAGCAAGUUUCCAGAGAGGUUGCAAUGCAAGGUGCUAAUUUGCAGAUGUUAUAGCAAAGAUCUUAUUACUAAACCA